This 460-nucleotide ribosomal RNA is filed under the name uncultured Ferruginibacter sp. RNAcentral describes it as "partial 16S ribosomal RNA". Lineage: Bacteria; Pseudomonadati; Bacteroidota; Chitinophagia; Chitinophagales; Chitinophagaceae. The record is from RNAcentral.
GACUACAGGGGUAUCUAAGCCUGUUUGAUCCCCACGCUUUCGUGCCUCAGUGUCAAUAUAUCCGUAGUAAGCUGCCUUCGCAAUUGGUGUUCUAUGUCAUAUCUAAGCAUUUCACCGCUACAUGACAUAUUCCGCUUACCUCCAGAUAAUUCAAGAUCUAUAGUAUCAAUGGCAGUUUCCGAGUUAAGCUCGGAGAUUUCACCACUGACUUACAAACCCACCUACGCACCCUUUAAACCCAGUAAAUCCGGAUAACGCUUGCACCCUCCGUAUUACCGCGGCUGCUGGCACGGAGUUAGCCGGUGCUUAUUCCUCUGGUACCGUCAAGUGAGUAAGAAUACCCUUUUUUCGUCCCAGAUAAAAGAAGUUUACAACCCAGAGGGCCUUAAUCCUUCACGCGGCAUGGCUGGUUCAGACUUUCGUCCAUUGACCAAUAUUCCUUACUGCAGCCCCCCGUAGG